Molecule: ribosomal RNA, 2139 nt
Filed under: human gut metagenome
Description: bacterial LSU rRNA
Rfam family: Bacterial large subunit ribosomal RNA
Source: RNAcentral
UGUGGCUGGGGGUGAAAGGCCAAUCAAACCGGGAGAUAGCUGGUUCUCCCCGAAAGCUAUUUAGGUAGCGCCUCGUGAAUUCAUCUCCGGGGGUAGAGCACUGUUUCGGCAAGGGGGUCAUCCCGACUUACCAACCCGAUGCAAACUGCGAAUACCGGAGAAUGUUAUCACGGGAGACACACGGCGGGUGCUAACGUCCGUCGUGAAGAGGGAAACAACCCAGACCGCCAGCUAAGGUCCCAAAGUCAUGGUUAAGUGGGAAACGAUGUGGGAAGGCCCAGACAGCCAGGAUGUUGGCUUAGAAGCAGCCAUCAUUUAAAGAAAGCGUAAUAGCUCACUGGUCGAGUCGGCCUGCGCGGAAGAUGUAACGGGGCUAAACCAUGCACCGAAGCUGCGGCAGCGACACUAUGUGUUGUUGGGUAGGGGAGCGUUCUGUAAGCCUGUGAAGGUGGCCUGUGAGGGUUGCUGGAGGUAUCAGAAGUGCGAAUGCUGACAUAAGUAACGAUAAAGCGGGUGAAAAGCCCGCUCGCCGGAAGACCAAGGGUUCCUGUCCAACGUUAAUCGGGGCAGGGUGAGUCGACCCCUAAGGCGAGGCCGAAAGGCGUAGUCGAUGGGAAACAGGUUAAUAUUCCUGUACUUGGUGUUACUGCGAAGGGGGGACGGAGAAGGCUAUGUUGGCCGGGCGACGGUUGUCCCGGUUUAAGCGUGUAGGCUGGUUUUCCAGGCAAAUCCGGAAAACCAAGGCUGAGGCGUGAUGACGAGGCACUACGGUGCUGAAGCGACAAAUGCCCUGCUUCCAGGAAAAGCCUCUAAGCAUCAGGUAACAUCAAAUCGUACCCCAAACCGACACAGGUGGUCAGGUAGAGAAUACCAAGGCGCUUGAGAGAACUCGGGUGAAGGAACUAGGCAAAAUGGUGCCGUAACUUCGGGAGAAGGCACGCUGAUAUGUAGGUGAAGCGACUUGCUCGUGGAGCUGAAAUCAGUCGAAGAUACCAGCUGGCUGCAACUGUUUAUUAAAAACACAGCACUGUGCAAACACGAAAGUGGACGUAUACGGUGUGACGCCUGCCCGGUGCCGGAAGGUUAAUUGAUGGGGUUAGCGGUAACGCGAAGCUCUUGAUCGAAGCCCCGGUAAACGGCGGCCGUAACUAUAACGGUCCUAAGGUAGCGAAAUUCCUUGUCGGGUAAGUUCCGACCUGCACGAAUGGCGUAAUGAUGGCCAGGCUGUCUCCACCCGAGACUCAGUGAAAUUGAACUCGCUGUGAAGAUGCAGUGUACCCGCGGCAAGACGGAAAGACCCCGUGAACCUUUACUAUAGCUUGACACUGAACAUUGAGCCUUGAUGUGUAGGAUAGGUGGGAGGCUUUGAAGUGUGGACGCCAGUCUGCAUGGAGCCGACCUUGAAAUACCACCCUUUAAUGUUUGAUGUUCUAACGUUGGCCCGUAAUCCGGGUUGCGGACAGUGUCUGGUGGGUAGUUUGACUGGGGCGGUCUCCUCCUAAAGAGUAACGGAGGAGCACGAAGGUUGGCUAAUCCUGGUCGGACAUCAGGAGGUUAGUGCAAUGGCAUAAGCCAGCUUGACUGCGAGCGUGACGGCGCGAGCAGGUGCGAAAGCAGGUCAUAGUGAUCCGGUGGUUCUGAAUGGAAGGGCCAUCGCUCAACGGAUAAAAGGUACUCCGGGGAUAACAGGCUGAUACCGCCCAAGAGUUCAUAUCGACGGCGGUGUUUGGCACCUCGAUGUCGGCUCAUCACAUCCUGGGGCUGAAGUAGGUCCCAAGGGUAUGGCUGUUCGCCAUUUAAAGUGGUACGCGAGCUGGGUUUAGAACGUCGUGAGACAGUUCGGUCCCUAUCUGCCGUGGGCGCUGGAGAACUGAGGGGGGCUGCUCCUAGUACGAGAGGACCGGAGUGGACGCAUCACUGGUGUUCGGGUUGUCAUGCCAAUGGCACUGCCCGGUAGCUAAAUGCGGAAGAGAUAAGUGCUGAAAGCAUCUAAGCACGAAACUUGCCCCGAGAUGAGUUCUCCCUGACUCCUUGAGAGUCCUGAAGGAACGUUGAAGACGACGACGUUGAUAGGCCGGGUGUGUAAGCGCAGCGAUGCGUUGAGCUAACCGGUACUAAUGAACCGUGAGGCUUAACCUU